This 491-nucleotide ribosomal RNA is filed under the name uncultured bacterium. Its description in RNAcentral is "partial 16S ribosomal RNA". It matches the Rfam family "Bacterial small subunit ribosomal RNA", at positions 30 to 508 of the family's 1533-position model. The record is from RNAcentral.
AUUGAACGCUGGCGGCACGCUUUACACAUGCAAGUCGAACGGCAGCACGAAAGAUCUUGCUCUUUUGGUGGCGAGUGGCGAACGGGUGAGUAAUGCAUCGGAACGUACCGAGUAAUGGGGGAUAACUGUCCGAAAGGAUAGCUAAUACCGCAUACGCUUUGAGAAGGAAAGUGGGGGCUCUUCGGACCUCACGUUAUUCGAGCGGCCGAUGUCUGAUUAGCUAGUUGGUGGGGUAAAGGCCUACCAAGGCGACGAUCAGUAGCGGGUCUGAGAGGAUGAUCCGCCACACUGGGACUGAGACACGGCCCAGACUCCUACGGGAGGCAGCAGUGGGGAAUUUUGGACAAUGGGCGCAAGCCUGAUCCAGCCAUGCCGCGUGUCUGAAGAAGGCCGUCGGGUUGUAAAGGACGUUUGUUAGGGAAGAAAAGGAUAGUGUUAAUACCAUUAUCUGCUGACGGUACCUAAAGAAUAAGCACCGGCUAACUACGUGC